Molecule: ribosomal RNA, 2631 nt
Filed under: Triticum aestivum (bread wheat)
Lineage: Eukaryota; Viridiplantae; Streptophyta; Magnoliopsida; Poales; Poaceae
Description: partial small subunit ribosomal RNA
Source: RNAcentral
AUGGAGCCCUUGACUGAGGUCGCAUCGCAGUGCGGCUCCGGCAUGGCGGCCAGCCUCGCGCCGUCACGGUGGGCCGACCUGCCAGCGGACCUGCUCAUCGAUAUCUCCGGCCGCCUGCGCGACGUUGUCGACUUCGUCCGCUUCCACGCCGUCUGCAUACCCUGGCGCAGAGCGGCGCCGUCACUGCGAACCCCGGCAGCGACCCACCGCCAUCGGACGUUUCUGCCGUGGCUGCUCGCGAUGUGGGACAACCUCUUUGUGCACUUGCCACUCAACUUCGGAUGCAUCUUGGCCUUGCCGACAUCGAGCGACCGCCAUGGCCGCGACAGCUUCUUCCUGCCGGACGAACCAUCUACCAGCGACGAAAUGAACUGGGUGGUCAGAGAAGAUGGCGCGGCCGUCUGGGCUUUCACGGCGCAUCCCCGGCCAACACUCACCGACCUUCUCACCGGAGCCGUCACCAAGCUGCCUCGAUUUUCGGAGGUGGAUGCUGAUGACGAUGAGAUAAAGUGGCAGAUGAGCGAUUCUCGUGGCAUUGUGUACCGCGAUGGCACCGUCUUUGUGUACGAUUUUUACUCGCGCGUCUUCAGGGCGGCCAUCCUGCGUCCUGGUGAUACCACGUGGACUACUGCGGAAAGAAGUCUGACUUUGUUGGAGAAAGGCUGCCAUCUGAGUGCUGCAUAUCACGAUGGCAAGAUCCUAGUCUGCGUGAGGCUGAACCUUUGGUUUAUACUCAAGCCGGACUUCGAAGGCAAAGGAGUCGCCGCCGGCGGCGAGCUCGACAUGAUGAGUGACGCAAGGGAUGGAAUAAAGCGCCAUAGCUAUGUCUUCGAGUCACGUGGUGAGCUAAUGUGGGCGACCGUCCUGGCCGAGCAGGACUGGUGCUCUGGUCGCACAGGGCAUGACCCGACGGGCGCAGUCUCGGUGACGGUGCAUGCUCUCGAAAGGGCCUACGGUGGUGCCAAGAUGCGUUGGAUGGCCAUGGACGGCCAGAGCUUGAGUGACCGCGUCCUAUUUCUUGGAUCACCUACAAGCUUCGCCAUGGACGACACGCCUAUGGGCGUGGGCGGGUGCGCCUUCUUUUUCUUGAGGGGCUUCUUGCUCAAAUACAGCUUCAUCGAAUGCGAGGCUAAACUUAUGGAUGGGCUGAGUCCAAAAUGGGGUUCUGUUAAGGCGCAUGUGUGGCUCCAGCCCCCUCCACCACCCAUUGCUUCAAUGCGCGAUAUCAGAAAAAGGGCCAAGGUCUCAACCAAGAAGAAAGCCAGGAAAAAUAAUAAGCAAUUUAGUGGCUUGAGGGCGCCACAAAAACUAUUGGAUCGGAUGGAGUCCUUCACCGAGGUCGCGUCGCAGUCCGGCUCCGGCGUGGCGGCCACGCCGGCCAGCCUAGUGCCGCCACGGUGGGCCGACCUCCCAGCGGACCUGCUCGACGACAUCUCCGGCCGCCUGCACGACGUUGCCGACUUCGUCCGCUUCCACGCCGCCUGCAUCCCCUGGCGCAGAGCGGCGCCGUCACUGCGAUCCCCGGCAGCGACCCAACGGACGUUUCUGCCGUGGCCGCUCGCGAUGUGGGACGACCUCUUGUUGCACUUGCCACUCAACUUCGGAUGCAUCUCGCCAACGUCGAGCUACCGCCAUGGCCGCGACAGUCUCGCCCUGCCGGGCGUAUCAUCUACUAGAAACGAGAACUGGGUGGCUAGGGAAGAUGGCGCGGCCGUCUGGCUUUUCACGGCGCAUCCCCAGCCGACACUUGCCGACCUUCGCACCGGAGCCGUCAUCAAGCUGCCCCGAUUUUCGGAGGAUGAUCACCAUGGCUAUGAGAUAAAGCGGCGGAUGGAGAAUUCCUGUGGCAUUGUGUACCGCGAUGGCACUGUCUUUUUGUACAGUUUUGCCCGGUCCAUCUUCACGGCGGCGAUCUUGCGUCCCGAUGAUACGGCGUGGACUAAUGCGGAAAAACGAGUGGGUUUGAACCAAGGCUGCCAUCUGAAUGCUGCAUACCACGAUGGCAAGAUCCUAGUGUGCAUUGGCAUGCAUUUCUGGUUUGUGCUCGCGCCGGACUUCGAAGGCAAAGGUGGCGCGGGAGGGGGGAAACUCCAAAUGAGGAGUGACGCUACGGAUGAAAUGAAACGUUAUAGCUACGUCUUCAAAUCACGCAAUGAGCUAAUGUGGGUGACAAUACUGGUCGGGCAGGACUGGGACAACUGUGGUUGCAUGGGGCACAACCCGAUUAGCGCACCGAUGGUGACGGUGCAUACCUUCGCAAGGGCGAACGGCGGCAAGAAGAUGCGUUGGAUGCCGAGGGACGGCCAGAGUUUGAAGGAUCGUGUCCUGUUUCUUGGGUCACCUCUGAGCUUCACCGGUGACGCCACACAUCUGGGUGUGGACGGCGCCUGUGCCUACUUUGUCUUUAAGGGAUGCAUGUUCAGAUAUAACCUUAUCAACCACGAGGCUAAACUUAUGGAGCAGCUGAGUCCCAAAUGGGGUUCUGGCAAGGUUCAUGUGUGGCUCCAGCCCUAUCCACCAGCCAUUGCUCCAAUAUACGAAAUCACAAAAAGGGCCAAGGCUUCAACGAAGAAGGAAGCGAAGAAAUAUAAUAGGCGAUUUAGUGGCUUGAACGCACCCUGGAUAUUGUAA